RNAcentral lists this ribosomal RNA (497 nucleotides) under uncultured bacterium. RNAcentral describes it as "partial 16S ribosomal RNA". It matches the Rfam family "Bacterial small subunit ribosomal RNA", at positions 28 to 507 of the family's 1533-position model. The record is from RNAcentral.
GAUGAACGCUGGCGGCGUGCCUAAUACAUGCAAGUCGAGCGAACAGACGCGGCGCUUUCUCCUCUGACGUUAGCGGCGGACGGGUGAGUAACACGUGGAUACCCUACCUAUAAGACUGGGUUAAAUUCGGAAAACAGGAGCUAAUACCGGACAAUAUAUUGAACCGCAUUGUUCAAUAGUGAAAGACGGUUUUGCUGUCACUUAUAGAUGGAUCCGCGCCGCAUUAGCUAGUUGGUAAGGUAACGGCUUACCAAGGCAACGAUGCGUAGCCGACCUGAGAGGGUGAUCGGCCACACUGGAACUGAGACACGGUCCAGACUCCUACGGGAGGCAGCAGUAGGGAAUCUUCCGCAAUGGGCGAAAGCUUGACGGAGCAACGCCGCGUGAGUGAUGAAGGUCUUCGGAUCGUAAAACUCUGUUAUUAGGGAAGAACAAAUGUGUAAGUAACUAUGCACGUCUUGACGGUACCUAAUCAGAAAGCCACGGCUAACUACGUG